Molecule: transfer RNA, 72 nt
Filed under: Bos taurus (domestic cattle)
Lineage: Eukaryota; Metazoa; Chordata; Mammalia; Artiodactyla; Bovidae
Also listed under: 4 other names
Rfam family: tRNA
About the family: Transfer RNA (tRNA) molecules are approximately 80 nucleotides in length. Their secondary structure includes four short double-helical elements and three loops (D, anti-codon, and T loops).
Source: Rfam by way of RNAcentral
UCCCUGGUGGUUCAGUGGUUAAGACUCUGCACUUCAAUGCAUGGAGCUCAGGUUCGAUCCCUGGUCAGGGAA